GUGAAAUACCCUCGGGCUCAACCUAGGAACUGCAUUUCUAAACUGGAUAACUUGAGUAUGUCAGAGGGUAUUGGAAUUUCCCCGUGUAGCAGUGAAAUGCGUAGAUAUGGGAAGGAACAUCAGUGGCGAAGGCGAAUACCUGGGAUAAUACUGACGCUGAGGUGCGAAAAGCGUGGGGGAGCAAACGGGGAUUAGAUACCCCUGGUAG
Molecule: ribosomal RNA, 208 nt
Filed under: uncultured bacterium
Lineage: Bacteria
Description: partial 16S ribosomal RNA
Rfam family: Bacterial small subunit ribosomal RNA
Source: RNAcentral